RNAcentral lists this ribosomal RNA (161 nucleotides) under Paraixeris pinnatipartita. RNAcentral describes it as "5.8S ribosomal RNA". It matches the Rfam family "5.8S ribosomal RNA". Rfam says of the family: 5.8S ribosomal RNA (5.8S rRNA) is a component of the large subunit of the eukaryotic ribosome. Lineage: Eukaryota; Viridiplantae; Streptophyta; Magnoliopsida; Asterales; Asteraceae. The record is from RNAcentral.
UCAUAACGACUCUCGGCAACGGAUAUCUCGGCUCACGCAUCGAUGAAGAACGUAGCAAAAUGCGAUACUUGGUGUGAAUUGCAGAAUCCCGUGAACCAUCGAGUUUUUGAACGCAAGUUGCGCCCAAAGCCAUCCGGUUGAGGGCACGCCUGCUGGGCGUC